CCACCAGAUAAGCCCACAAGCCAAAACAGGACAUACCUCCUCCUCGGGCUGACCUCCGAUAAUUAGUUCAUCACCAAGUUACCAAAAGUCCCAUUCGUACACAGCCACAGAGAAACCACUCUCUCCUUCCAUGGCUACCAUCAGUCUCUCCUUCCGUUUUCCACCUCUUCCUAAAUUGUCUCCUCCACUCCACCACCGGGUUGACUUUUCCGUCUUGACUUGGACUAGAAUCGCUACCUUGAGAACUUGUGCUACGGGAGGGGACUUGCUGGGUGAUUUUGGGGCCAGAGACCCUUUCCCUGCAGAGUUAGAGAGUGGAUUUGCGGAGAAAGUGGUAGGCAAUGUUGAUACUGAGCAUAAGAUUCUUAUUCCCAAUAUCUCUGCUCUGUCUCUUUCCCAGCAAGAGUGCACCCCUAUAUCUCCCUUACUGGAUCCCAUGUCUAAGGAUGAUGCCCAAAAGCUCUUGAAGAAGGUUUUUGGCUGGAGACUCCUGGAUGAAGAAGAUGGGCUUAAACUGCAAUGCUUGUGGAAAUUGAGAGAUUUUAAAUGUGGGGUUGAACUUAUCAAUAGAAUUUACAAGGUUACAGAAUCUUCUGGGCAUUUUCCGAAUCUGCAUUUGGAACAGACCAACCAAGUUAGAGCUGAACUAUGGACUUCCUCCAUUGGAGGCCUGAGUAUGAAUGAUUUCAUUGUAGCUGCCAAAAUUGAUGAGAUUAAGACAUCAGAUCUUGCCCCUAGAAAAAGAAUAUGGGCAUAAUUGGAACAAAUCUUUAAUCCUGAAGAAACCGAAAAGAUCUGUACGUUGAUAAAAAGUGGUGUUUCAGCAUCUAAUGACCAUAGAGGUUCAUGUUGUUGCAAUUUAUAUGAAAGCUUUCUGUGUUAUUUUCCCCAUUAAUCUUCUUCGAG
Molecule: unclassified non-coding RNA, 906 nt
Filed under: Hevea brasiliensis (rubber tree)
Lineage: Eukaryota; Viridiplantae; Streptophyta; Magnoliopsida; Malpighiales; Euphorbiaceae
Source: RNAcentral